Molecule: ribosomal RNA, 497 nt
Filed under: uncultured bacterium
Lineage: Bacteria
Description: partial 16S ribosomal RNA
Rfam family: Bacterial small subunit ribosomal RNA
Source: RNAcentral
GAUGAACGCUGGCGGCGUGCCUAAUACAUGCAAGUCGAGCGAACAGAUGAGGAGCUUGCUCCUCUGACGUUAGCGGCGGACGGGUGAGUAACACGUGGAUAACCUACCUAUAAGACUGGGAUAACUUCGGGAAACCGGAGCUAAUACCGGAUAAUAUAUUGAACCGCAUGGUUCAAUAGUGAAAGACGGUUUUGCUGUCACUUAUAGAUGGAUCCGCGCCGCAUUAGCUAGUUGGUAAGGUAACGGCUUACCAAGGCAACGAUGCGUAGCCGACCUGAGAGGGGGAUCGGCCACACUGGAACUGAGACACGGUCCAGACUCCUACGGGAGGCAGCAGUAGGGAAUCUUCCGCAAUGGGCGAAAGCCUGACGGAGCAACGCCGCGUGAGUGAUGAAGGUCUACGGAUCGUAAAACUCUGUUAUUAGGGAAGAACAAAUGUGUAAGUAACUAUGCACGUCUUGACGGUACCUAAUCAGAAAGCCACGGCUAACUACGUG